RNAcentral lists this ribosomal RNA (600 nucleotides) under uncultured bacterium. RNAcentral's name for it is "bacterial SSU rRNA". It matches the Rfam family "Bacterial small subunit ribosomal RNA", at positions 79 to 681 of the family's 1533-position model. The record is from RNAcentral.
GCUUCUUGGGUGACGAGCGGCGGACGGGUGAGUAAUGCAUAGGAAUCUGCCCGAUAGUGGGGGAUAACCUGGGGAAACCCAGGCUAAUACCGCAUACGUCCUACGGGAGAAAGGGGGCUCCGGCUCCCGCUAUGGGAUGAGCCUAUGUCGGAUUAGCUAGUUGGUGAGGUAACGGCUCACCAAGGCAACGAUCCGUAGCUGGUCUGAGAGGAUGAUCAGCCACAUCGGGACUGAGACACGGCCCGAACUCCUACGGGAGGCAGCAGUGGGGAAUAUUGGACAAUGGGCGCAAGCCUGAUCCAGCCAUGCCGCGUGUGUGAAGAAGGCCCUCGGGUUGUAAAGCACUUUCAGCGAGGAAGAACGCCUAGCGGUUAAUACCCGCUAGGAAAGACAUCACUCGCAGAAGAAGCACCGGCUAACUCCGUGCCAGCAGCCGCGGUAAUACGGAGGGUGCAAGCGUUAAUCGGAAUUACUGGGCGUAAAGCGCGCGUAGGUGGCUUGAUAAGCCGGUUGUGAAAGCCCCGGGCUCAACCUGGGAACGGCAUCCGGAACUGUCAAGCUAGAGUGCAGGAGAGGAAGGUAGAAUUCCCGGUGUAGCGG